AUGCUUGAAGAAGGGGAUGGGGUUAUGGCAGAUAAGGGGUUAACUAUUGCCGAUAUGCUAGAGAAAAAGGGCUGUACUUUAAAUAUUCCUCCUUUUCUUUCAUCUUCCUCUCAGUUUUCUCCUCAAGAUGUACUUAAAACUCAAGAAAUAGCAAAGCUUACAAUACAUGUUGAAAGAGCUAUAGGCCGUGUAAAGAAUUUUCAUAUAUUUGAUGGUGUACUUUCUCUUUCUUUAGCCCCAUUAGUUUCCCAGAUGUUUUCCGUCUGCUGCUGGAUCACCAAUCUUGAUGUGCCUUUGGUUGACAGUUAAAAGAUCUUCAGUUGUGCUGACUUCCACCUCACUUUCCAUGUCCGGGGCUUCAUCUGGGAUGUUCCAUAACUGAGCCAUGCCUAAGAUAUAAACAUUCUUGAAUAAUUAAUUUUUUGUAAAUGCAUUAUACACUUUAUUUUUUAAAGUAUUUGUCAUGUGUUUUGCUUUUAAAUAAAGCAUUUGUGAUUUAA
Saccostrea cuccullata (small rock oyster) is the source of this 500-nucleotide long non-coding RNA. RefSeq lists it as uncharacterized. The transcript has 2 exons. The record is from RefSeq and is a predicted model, not a curated record. NCBI's taxonomy places the organism in Eukaryota, Metazoa, Mollusca, Bivalvia, Ostreida, Ostreidae.